AUACGGAGGGUGCAAGCGUUAUCCGGAAUCAUUGGGUUUAAAGGGUCCGCAGGCGGAUUAAUAAGUCAGUGGUGAAAUCCUCCCGCUCAACGGGAGAACUGCCAUUGAAACUGUUAGUCUUGAAUUCGGUCGAAGUGGGCGGAAUAUGUCAUGUAGCGGUGAAAUGCAUAGAUAUGACAUAGAACACCGAUAGCGAAGGCAGCUCACUAGACCUGGAUUGACGCUCAGGGACGAAAGCGUGGGGAGCGAACAGGAUUAGAUACCCUAGUAGUCC
This 274-nucleotide ribosomal RNA is filed under the name uncultured bacterium. RNAcentral describes it as "partial 16S ribosomal RNA". It matches the Rfam family "Bacterial small subunit ribosomal RNA", at positions 523 to 796 of the family's 1533-position model. The record is from RNAcentral.